GCCCAUGACUCCACAACUCUAACCAUUUCAGUUGAGAAUAUAUUCUUAUAUGAUGUACGGAACAGAUGCUCUCAAACAAAAAAAAAUAAAAAAUCUUAUUCUACAAAAUACUUUUAAGGGAUUGUCAUUCUGCUCUUCAUAUAGCAGCUCAAUUCAAGAUUACUUGUAUGCUUUUGGAGAAUCGAUCAGCCAAUCCAGAUUGUUUGAAUCGUCAUACAAGUGUGUUCAGUUUUAUCGUCGUAUGUGCUCUAACCAGCCUCCCGCUACCAUUCUCCGACCACCCACCAGAGUUUGUCAAUGAUUACACAACGACAACCCAUCGGCAUGAAACCUACAAUCACCGCCGUUGAAUACUUUUUCCCAAUUUGUGGUUACUCUCCAAUCAGUAACUCUUUCAUCUCUGCAAGAUUGGAAGAUCUAGGGUUAUGAAUUGAAGACGAAUAAUUGAAGGAGACGUGUGUGCUAAGAGAUCGAUUAGGUCUCUUUUUAGGCGAUAUGGGGCUUUACCCAGAUUGUCAUACUCACUCAUCAUUGUGAUUCCAAUCGCUUCAUCCACAGCUUUAUAGGUUGAAAUUUAUUAGGAAACUAAACUGAUAAAAUCCCAGUGCCAAAGGUGAUUAUAAAUCAGGACUCAGAUCUAGAUCAUGAUGCAAGUGUGAUGGGAUCACUUACAAAUCUUGGAAUGAAUGUUGUCAACGCAAAUGAUCAUCUGAAUUCUUCCGGGAAUCACACCAUAUUUUCAACAACUGAAGCCAUUAUUUAGAUCAUAGACAUGAUGCAGCAAGAGCAGAAAAUUCAUUUACACUUAUUUUUAGGAGUGAAUUAAUCGGUGUGCAAAUAUGCAAAAAAGGUAUAUAGGUUUUUUCUACUGUUAUUUCUUGAAUUCCUUUAGUUAAAGGAAUUUGAAGGAAUUCAUGCCUAAUUCCAAUUUCAAUUCCAUUGUCAACCAAACACAUGAAGAUUGGAAAUGGGAUUCCAAUUCCCUAAUAUGAUUUGUGAACCUGACAUCUUAAGAGAUGGAAUUUAAAUUCCAAUUCCCUUAAAUUCCAUUGAAUUUCAGCGAACCAAACGCCCCCUAAGUUUUUUUUUUUUUUUUUUUUUGUAUUUUAUUUGUUUUCUUAAGUUGCGUUUUUAUAUUAAACAUAACUAAACGUACUUUGUAUAUUAACAAAAAAGAAUGUUGUGAAUGUCA
Molecule: long non-coding RNA, 1192 nt
Organism: Helianthus annuus (common sunflower)
Lineage: Eukaryota; Viridiplantae; Streptophyta; Magnoliopsida; Asterales; Asteraceae
Exons: 6
Source: RefSeq, a predicted model, not a curated record